GUUCACAGACAGGUGGGCGCCAUAUUGAUUGGUAUCGGUUUGAUCGUCCGGUUUUCAGGGGACAUGUGCCGAUAAACGUCAUGUACCAAAUGUCUAUUGGCUAAAUCUACAAGAUGGAGGGCAAGAGCAGAAGUGGUUCAGCAAGAAGAAAACCAGUAUCCACUUUAAAAGUACGUCAUUCUUUUGGCAAGAAGAGUAAAGCUGCCAGCAGCUCCGAUUCCGAGGAAUUCUCAGAUUUGGAAAAUUCACUGAAACCAGCAUCACCUUGUAACUCUGACAUUGAAUCCAUUCCAGAAUUGCCUGAAGUUUCAUCAACUUUGGGAAACUUGGAUGUGUUUAACUGUACAGCGUGCAAUAGACAAGUUAAUCCCAAUGUGAAAGGAGCAGCAAAAAGACAUCCAGACCUUGGGGUUCUUAUUUGCAAGAAAUGCUACAGUUACUAUAAAAGUGGUGAGAUAGCCCAGGACAGUGAUGGCCUUGACGAACAGUGCCGCUGGUGUUCAGAGGGAGGCAAACUCGUGGGGUGUGAUUACUGCCACAACGCUUUUUGUAAACAGUGUAUACUACACAAUUUUGGACGAGCAGAACUGUCCAAAGUCAAUGGUGAUGAUGACACCAAAUGGAAGUGUUAUAUAUGCGAUAGUUCACAAUUAUUGAAAUUAACUGCAUUUUGUGAUGACAUGAUGGACAAAAUUGAAAAGCAGCGACAGUUGGAAAAAACAGCAGCAAAUACACCAAAGUCAGAAAAGAGCUCUAAAAAGAAUACGUCAUUGACAAAUAGUAACUCUAAAAUGAAUUCAAAACCAUCGCCAUCAAAUCAGACGCGUGUAGUACCCAGUAUUAAGAUCAUUCCUUCUUGUGUCGAGGAUGUUGUGUGCAAGCUGACGGGAAUAUCGAACACCUUUAUAACAAUGUUAGAAGUUAUGAAAACAGAUUUAGAACUCCCUUACAGCAUGAUGAGUCCAUUUGAUGUCAAGGUGGAUAGGAAACGACUUGGAUAUGCUGGAAUUUUGCAGAAAGGACUGGAAACCUAUACCAGCGCCAUAGAUAGGAUUUUGUCGGAACAGAUUGAGCCAAAAGAUGCCAAUAAUUCCCAGAAUACAGGAAAGAAAAAAACUUCAACGUCAAGUUCUAAUGAUGAUGACGAUGACGAUGAUGAUGAUGACGAUGACGACGACGAUGACGAUGACAAUGAAGAUAAGAAUUCAAGCAAUGAUGGUGAAAAAAAUGACAAGAUAAUUGAACCCAUGGAUGAGAAUGGUGAAGCAGAUGAUGAUGAAAAUGAACUUGCUAAGAAAGUGAUUCUUGAUGACAUGCAAGAGAAUUCUGAUGAGAAUGGUGAUGUAAAUUCAAGUGAUACAGCUAAAAAAAGAGCCAUACAGACGAAGUUGUUGAAUGCCAAACUGUCAGAAAGUGACUCUAAUAUUGGGAAGAAAAAAGCUAAACAAAAACUUGACAAAGCCAAAGAUGACAGUCUUUCAUCAGACAGGUACUUCCAGUCAUCCAAAAAGAGCAAAAAGAGAAAACAUUCCAGCAGUAGUAGUUCAGAGGAAGACAGUGACAGUGACAGUGACGAAGACAGUGAAUCAAAGAGUGAAGAAGAGGACAGUGAUGACUCCAGUUCCAAAAAGAAGAAGAAGAAGAAGAAGCGCAAAGGUUCCAAGAAAGGAAAGCGUGGGAAAAAGGGCAAAGGAGGUAAAGGCAAGAAGAAACUGAAACGAAUCAAAGUUCCGAAAGACUCGUCUGAUGAAGAUGGUGGAUCAGACAGUGAUCAAUCAGGAUCAUUCAACAAUAUAGUCCAGAUAACUGAUGACAAUUCCCCUACUAAAUGUCCCAUGACGACACAGCUCAUUCUUGAGAGAGAUAAGGAAAGUGAAGAGCCAAUCAUUGAAGUCAACAAGAAAUUGGUGCGCAAGUUGAAACCUCAUCAAGUAGAGGCUGUGCAGUUCAUGUAUGACUGUUGCUGUGAGUCUGUUGAAAGGCUGAAGAAACAGCCUGGAUCAGGCUGCAUUCUGGCACAUUGUAUGGGUCUCGGUAAAACUUUAUCGGUUGUCAGCUUUGUUCACACGAUGAUAAAGCAUUACGAUCUUACGAACAUUGGAACGUGUUUAGUAGUGUGUCCUCUCAACACGGUUCUCAACUGGGUUCACGAGUGGGAUAUGUGGCUGGAUGAGAAAGACAAACUAGAGAUUUAUGAAAUGGCUGGUGUCAAAGGUAACAAUGAGCGCAUGCACUACCUUGAAGACUGGCACAAAAAUGGAGGUAUCAUGAUAGUGGGGUAUGAAAUGUACCGAUCUUUGUCCACUGGUUGUCGAGUGAAGGGCAAGAAAAUGAAGAAAGUAUUUGCUGAAACACUUGUGGAUCCUGGACCAGAUAUGGUUGUAUGUGAUGAGGGACAUAUUUUAAAGAACGAUCAAUCAUCGAUAUCAAAGGCUAUGAAUAUGAUGAAAACUAGACGAAGAAUUGUGCUCACUGGCACACCACUGCAGAACAAUCUUGUUGAAUAUCAUAGUAUGGUCAGCUUUGUGAAGCCGAAUUUGCUUGGUACCAAAAAAGAGUUUCUUAACCGAUUCGUCAACCCAAUUGGGAACGGUCAGUGUUCUGACUCGACACCUCACGAUGUCAAAGUCAUGAAGAGAAGAGCACACAUUAUCCACGAAAUGUUAGCUGGUUGUGUGCAGAGACGUGACUUUUCUUCACUGACAAAAUUCCUGCCACCAAAGAUGGAGUAUGUAAUUCUGGUCCGACUGACGCCCAUGCAGAUCACGCUGUACGAGAAAUACCUGGAAGUGACUGGACAGGCCCAGGAGGGACAGAUCAUAAGCCGAGGGGCACGUCUCUUCUCAGAUUAUCAGAAUCUCAUGAAGAUCUGGACUCAUCCAUGGGUGCUGAAGUUGGCAGAAAUUAGAGAUGAGGCCAAGAGACAGUAUAAUGAUGAGGAUGAUGAAGAUGAUGAAGAUGAUGGUGUGUUGUCAUCGCAGACUGAUUCCGACAGUGGUGACAGUUUGUUAGAAAAGAGGGGAGGGGAAGAUACAAGUGGUGAUGUAUCGAAGGCGUUAGAGGACCAAGGUGCACCACCUGUGAGCAGUGAGUGGUGGGCGGAGUUUGUGAAGCUAGAGGAUGCACACAAGGUUGAACUCAGUGGCAAGCUGACACUGCUUUUUGAGAUUCUCAGGCUUUCUGCAGAGAUUGGCGACAAAGUUUUGGUUUUUAGUCAAAGCUUGUUGUCUCUAAACAUUAUUGAAGAUUUCUUGGACGACGUUGACCAAAAGAAUCAGGAAGAAGGAGAAGCAAAAAGACUUCAAGCAGAGUUGAAGAAGAAGGAAAAAAAGAAAGAGGAAGCAGAAAACAAAAUGGAAACCAAUGAAAAUGAAGGAGAGAAAAAAGAUGGUGAUGAAAGCGACAAAAAAGAUGACGAAAAGAAAGAAUCAGAUGAUGAAGAUGAGCUGCCUGAGGCUUUCGGCAAGAGUUGGAUAAAGGGUGCUGAUUAUUUCCGAAUAGAUGGUUCCACUAAUGUCCAACUUAGAAAUGCUUGGUCUAAUCACUUCAAUGAUCCUGAACAUUACAGAGCUCGUCUGUUUUUGAUCUCGACAUGUGCAGGCAGUUUGGGGAUUAACUUAGUGGCAGCAAACAGGGUGAUCAUCUUUGAUGCAUCGUGGAAUCCAUCUCAUGACAUCCAGUCUAUAUUCCAAGUUUACAGACUCGGACAAACAAAACCUUGCUAUAUAUACCGAUUAUUGGCGCAGGGAACGAUGGAAGAAAAGAUCUAUGAAAGACAUGUAAUGAAGCAGUCAUUGGCUCAGCGUGUGGUUAACAAACAUCAGAUUGAUCGCCACUUCACAGCCGCAGAUCUCCAGGAACUGUACAGGUUCAGACCCGACAGACUGGACGAUCCAGAUAAACAAGACAGACCCUUGUUGACUCUUCCACAGGAUGUUCUGCUGGCUGAAGUGAUCAAGUCUCAGAAGGACCUUGUGGUCACGUACCACACACACGACUCACUGCUGGAGAACAAGGUGGACCAGGAGUUGUCUGAAGAAGACAAGAAGGCAGCGUGGGAGGAAUACGAAAACGAGAAGAAGAGAAUUUCAAACAGAGUCCAGACUGGUUAUGCUGGCAACAUGGGAAUGGGUAUGGGCAGGGGCUUGCUCAGUCCCAACAAUCUGAAGCAGAUCGCACAGAUGGUUCGAGCACAGUAUCCCAAUCUUCCACCUGAAAUGUUCCAAGCUCAAGUACAGAGUGUCUUGCAGAGGCAGAUAAUGAUGAAUCAGGAAAUACAGAAUCGACAGAUUGAGCAGCAAAAGAUGUUAGAAAUGAAACGUCUUCGUCGAAUUCGUAAACAGAUUAACCAACAGCAGAACCAGAUUAGCCAGCAGCAGAACAGACUGUUAGGUCAGCAGAACUGGAGGAACCCAAUGUUAUCACAGAUGCAAUCCAUGAAUCAGCAACAGGCAUUAGGCCUAAAAAAUUCAAUGCCCCAGAAAAAUCUGGCCAUGCUUCAGGCCGAACUGGAAAGAGCUACCAACAGAGUUGGUAACAAAGGGGGCAGUAACGUGGGAGGACGGAAUAAGCAGACGACAAAUGGGACUGCAGGAUCUCUGAUCCAACGAAAAAACCACCUGUAAAUAAUGUGAUUGAAACUAUCGACUUGUCUUAACUAGUGACCAUUUUAGAGCAUUGAUUGUCAAAGGUUGUUUUAACACAGGAAUUGGAGAAUGGGACGCACUAUAGACCUUAAUUACUGAUGUUGGAUGAAAACAAGGACUACAAAUGUGUACUAAAGUGUUUUAUUCUAUGUCUUCCCCUCCCCUUUUGUUUUAUAUAGUAGAUAAAAUCAGAUAAAGCCUCGUACAAAAGAAAUUGUAUUACAAUCACGUGUUAGAGAUUUUCAUAAAUGUGUACAAUCAAUCUGUAUAAAAGACUACCUAGCCUUGAACUAAAGCCAUUUUUAGAUUGUU
RNA transcript from Gigantopelta aegis, 4958 nucleotides. It is a transcript of the gene named transcriptional regulator ATRX-like, with no coding region annotated. The record is from RefSeq and is a predicted model, not a curated record. The transcript has 29 exons. NCBI's taxonomy places the organism in Eukaryota, Metazoa, Mollusca, Gastropoda, Neomphalida, Peltospiridae.